RNAcentral lists this ribosomal RNA (460 nucleotides) under uncultured bacterium. RNAcentral's name for it is "bacterial SSU rRNA". It matches the Rfam family "Bacterial small subunit ribosomal RNA", at positions 340 to 790 of the family's 1533-position model. The record is from RNAcentral.
UACGGAAGGCAGCAGUGGGGAAUAUUGCACAAUGGGCGAAAGCCUGAUGCAGCUAUGCCGCGUGUAUGAAGAAGGCCUUAGGGUUGUAAAGUACUUUCAUCGGGGAGGAAAAAACAAAACUAAUAAUUUUAUUUCUUGACGUUACCCGAAAAAGAAGCACCGGCUAACUCCGUGCCAGCAGCCGCGGUAAUACGGAGGGUGCUAGCGUUAAUCAGAAUUACUGGGCGUAAAGAGCACGUAGGUGGUUUUUUUAAGUCAGAUGUGAAAUCCCUGGGCUUAACCUGGAACUGCAUUUUGAAACUGAAAUACUAGAGUAUCGUAGAGGGAGGUAGAAUUCUAGGUGUAGCGGUUGAAAUGCGUAGAUAUCUGGAGGAAUACCUGUGGCGAAAGCGGCCUCCUAAACGAAUACUGACACUGAGGUGCGAAAGCGUGGGGAGCAAACAGGGAUUAGGAUACCCGU